UUAUGCACGUUGUGUGUGUGGAAACAACAAGUAUCACAACACAAACUUUACGACUCAAAGCAUAUGUAUUCAAUGGCUCUAACGGACAAACAUAACAGAGUUACUAUAGGCAGGGGUCAGAUGAAGCAACACUCAACUACAAGCAAGAGCAAGUUAUGUCUUAGUAUAGAACAAGUUUAAUAAGCAAAAUAAGAGGCAUGAAACUAAAACAACAACUCUCCCAAGGCACCAGACUGCCAUCUGGAACUUCGAAGUUACUAGUCGGUAUAGAUCUCCAUUUAGAAACCACCAUCGGGUUCGGUGAUCUCCUCUGCAACAAGUUAAUUAAGCAAGGAUGAGUACAAUUGUACUCCGCAAGACUUGCAUCAAAACUAGCUAAAGAUGCUCAAGUAUCAAGGGGGGAGGAUGUGGAAUGGUGUGCAUAAUUGCCAGCUUUGACUUUGGAUACUCUAAGUUACAUGUACCAGUAGCUUGUAUCACAUGUAAGAUAACACAUAUGAGUCCAUCAUCUAGUUAAUCACCACACUGAUACACAUCCACCCUCGAUUCGUCCACGAGGAAGCAAUUCAAGGUACUCACGAUUGUCUUCACGCCAUUAAGGUAACCAUUAAACUUGUCUAUGAUCGGCCAUAGAUCACCAAGUAGCCACUUAACCGCAUACACGCCUAUUCGAAUAGAAUUAACCCUGCAAGGGUGUGCAACUUUCCCCACAUGCAUCCAUCAUCUCUUAAUGCUAGCUAGCAGCACACUUUAGGUUGUGCUUGGACAGAGGAUGGUCGAGUAUGGCUCUUACCUUAACACUUGAAUGUAGUCCAUGGAGUCACCUAUCUAGGCUGAAGCCAUAUCAAGAGUCCUGCCGAGUUCUCCAAUGGGGCCUCAAACAUUAUCUUGAGGUCCGCAAACCCAUCCGAUGGCACAUGCGAAGUCGUGUCACUUUUCUAUGUCAUGCAAUGCCAAUUGCUAUGCAUAUGUUGCGAAAACCCAAACUAGUUGUGACUCUUGCAAGUUAGUAGAUCGUGCGGAGGGGGUGUCAUAUGCCCAACAUGUGGUUAUGUGCUCAGUCUUUCUCAAAGAUACAAGAAGUAGGGUCCUAUGAGCGGCUUAAAUGAAACAACCCACUGUGUUCUCCAACAAGGCUCUCAUCUUCAGAUUUAGUCAUAUCCACUCUUAUACCCUUUGCAUCUAUCUCUAACAUGAACAACACCAUAUUUAUUGAUUGCACACGGUGGACACGAGACUUGCACAGCUAUAAGCAUGCCUAAGCAUGACAAAUAGUAGGGCCACAUUAAGAUAUCAAGCAACUCAUAAUCAUGCUAGGAUCAAGAUAGAGUUAUCUACAGUGACAAGGAUAUGUGAUGCAAAGGAUGGGCUCCAUCUAGGUAAUGAAAGAGGGGAGAGUCUGUCUUCCACCUAACAACAUGAUUGGCAAGGCCCCUAGGUCAAGUGACCGGGAAACCUAGUCGCCACCACCAGGAGAGUCGCUCCUUCUGGCGUCGUCUUCCAGUGGCUCUUCUCCGCCGGUGACUUCUUGGUCGUUGGCGUUGAGGGGGUCAUCAGAUCCCGCGUGUACAGAAUGUUUUUAGAUUUAGGUUUUAGGGCCCUAGUAGCUUCGGUUUUUGGGUCGUUCGACGUCUUGGCUUCGACGAUGGCGAUGCUGAAUAAACAAGCUCCAGAUUCUUCCCAGACGAGGCGAUCGUCUCUAUGGUCGGUGAUGGAUUCUGGGAACUAAUAUGUUCAAGCGGAUGUCAGGGCGACGCGACAUCCUUGUGGUGGGCUUGUGUCCUCUGGAUCCGUUGUUGCGAUGGCGUUUCCUGCAGCGUCGACACGGAGCUUGAAAGGUAAUCUAGGAGCGGAUGCAGAUUCUGAUAUGCAUCAAUGACAUCUGGAAGAUGGAACAUGUGCUGGGUUCAUGGUUGAUGGCUGACAGGUAUGGUUUCCUCCUUCGGCUACUUAGUCAUGGUGGGGUGCUAGAUCUGGAGUUCGAUGGCAUGUCAGGGGUGUUGCCCCGAUCUGAUUCGUCCAACGGCAAUAGCUUCGGCUUUGGCGAGACACCUUAGAGGUCCGCAAAGCUGCAUAUCAGCGAUGGAGCCCCAUCGAGCUCGGAUGAGGAGGUGAUCUAUCAUUUUUUUUACUUUGGUUUCUGUUGUGGUGGUGCCAGAGGCAGGUGACGGGAGUUGGUAUUAAGCUUAGAGGAUUCUUCGAUCUUGAUUGUAAUUUUACUUCUUGGCUAGUGGUCCUUUGUGUAGAGGCAAGUGUUCUGGUGUCUUUUUAGUUUUGUCAUGUCGGUCUAGAUGUGGCUUGUACUAUGAUCUUUAUGACAUAAAUAAGACACGUAUUACCAUGCAAAAAAAUCUAGGGGAUGAAGGCAACAGUUGAAUCGAUAAACCCUAAUGAAGUGGAACAAGAGAGUAAGUUUCUAGAAUAUGAUUAUUGACAUGGUCAAGGGGGUUUUCUUUUCCUUACAGCUUGCUAGAGGGCAACUGCUCUUCAGUGGCGGUGUCAUACUCUACUUCGGGUUCAACUUCUACCCGUAAGAACAAAACACCGACAAGAAGCGGGAUAACAUUCAAUAAAGUGUUAUGCUCAUUCAAGAUGCAUGUCAUGACAUGCUAAAGGCACUAAAUUGGACUAAUGCGUCAAGAAUCAAUUCAAUUGAAGUGAAAUUGAUCAAAUAUAGCAAUCCGGAACUCCAAAACUAUUAUUAAAGCGACAAUUACAUGUUUUGUUUUGAAUAGAAAUUUUAAGUUGCUUCAACAUCCAUGAUCAUGGCAUAAAGAGAAAGGGUACAUUUUUUAAGAUAUUGGUAUAUUAUAAAUAUUUUUUUGGCUGGUGUGAAUUUUCUAUGAAUUUCUAAAGGUUAAAUGUUGUUUUAAUUCAAAAAUGAUUUCUAAAAUUCAAAAUCACUAGAAAACCUUUUGUUACUUGUACAGAGUCUAGCCAUAGUCAAUGACAUGUGGGGCCAGUUAAAGUUGAGUCAUCUUUAGUCAAACUGACAUGUGGGGCUCCUGUGAUUAACUAAUUCCUAACGAGAAAAGUAAAAAGUGUUAAUUAAUUCAGCUCGAGUCAAACGUUCAUCUGGUCCCAUAAGGGCUCGAGAGGAUCCGCCCGCUUCUUCACCUCCACCUCAUUUAUAGAACUGAAGACGAGGGAGGGCUCCUGCUGCUAUGCCAUUGGAGCUGAAAAAGUGGAUUGGAGGCGAGCGAGAGGGGAUUGUGAAGUGGCGUCCUAGAGGGCAAUCGAUAAAGCAGGGAGGACAGGGCCCCAUACUUUUAUAGGUCGUCGUGAGCACCAUUAAUAGGGCAGCUAGAGAGAUGGUAGGCGGUAGGUGACUGACGGAGAGAGAUCAAAGGGCACGUCUCCUUGUGAGAAUUCCCAUGGGAGCAUACUCGCGUGGCUGCUCACAUGGCUUCUUCCGGCCAGCUCACACGCAGCCAAGAGAUGAUGAUGCAUGGAGGCCAUUGGACGGGCUGCCAUGGGAAUGCGAGGAAGCGGAUGUGACAUUAAUAGCCGAGAUAGGAACCUAACUAGCUCGCCGAUAUCGACGAGGCACGACCGGAAUAAACCUGGGCUCCAUGGCAACGCCCUCAAGAGGGUGACCGUGCAACGUGUCGCCGCCGCCGAGACCGAAGAUUGGUCAAGGGUUUUCACCCCGAAUCCGCUGCGGCGGGAGAGGUACCAUAGCGACACCCUUAAGAUGGACGCGACACACAGAGCAUUCAAGAGCAGAGCUUUCACCUGGAGCCUCUCAGCCACAUCACACUGCGGGAUCCCAAGCUCCGGUCCACCCCAAGGAUAGGCCUGCCGCCACCAAGCCAGACCUUCACUUGGAGCCGCCAUUGCCGAAGCACAAACAACACCAUGACCACCCACCGCAACAUCCUUGUCGCCCACACGUCCAAGGAACACCGCCAAGAAGCUAGUCGAAGAGCCAACCAGACAGACCGCCACUCGGGGUCGCCUCCCGAGCGUCCAAGGCCCCACCCUCUCCCCCGCAUGCCAACACCAAUUACCAACCCACACGCACACCACUCACCUGCGGCGAGACGGAAAGGUCCCUCCUUUCUAGUCCCACGACGGUGCCAUCAUGUGGCCCGAUGACGACUCUGUUAGGGUUGCUCUUGGCCUGUUUUUCGUACUAACACUCUGUAAUUUGUACAGUUCCCUUCCUCUUCUCUUUAUCUUUGAAACUUUCGCCGGUAACUUUCACAAAAUGGCCUUUCCUAGUCAAGUGUGGAGGGAAAAAAGGCAAGGAAAGACGCAACGUACCCCUGCCGACACGAAGGCGAAGUAGAGAGUUGGAUCCCAUCGUGGAACCGGGACAUGGUCCACCCCCUGCGGCUGCGCGUGGGCGUGGGCGUGGGCGUGGGGCUAAACCCCGACGUGCCCAGCGGAGCUUAUCGUACUAAUUCGCUUCAUAUGGGUGUUUGGAGUGCUAUGGUAGGAGAUUCAGAACGGGA
This 4457-nucleotide long non-coding RNA is filed under the name Triticum aestivum (bread wheat). RNAcentral's name for it is "long non-coding RNA (TAES_LNC001319)". The record is from RNAcentral. Lineage: Eukaryota; Viridiplantae; Streptophyta; Magnoliopsida; Poales; Poaceae.